Lynx canadensis (Canada lynx) is the source of this 2782-nucleotide long non-coding RNA. The record is from Ensembl. NCBI's taxonomy places the organism in Eukaryota, Metazoa, Chordata, Mammalia, Carnivora, Felidae.
CAGAGCCCUGGUGAAGCUACAGAGAUUAAUUACAUCAGGAAAAAUGCCAGAGACAAGACGCAAAAAGUUUCGUUUUGUGCUCUAACACGACUGGGGAGGAUCUGUUUAGAAUAUCAAGAUUUUUUUUUUUUAAGUAAAAUAAAAAACACCAGAUGGCUUCAAAGUACGCCAGUGUUGGGCCAGUUCUCGUGACCUUCCUCGGGAGACCGAGGCCCGGAGCGCAGUGGGGAGGGGAGGAGACGGCCGGGAACCAGGGCGGAGGAACUCAAGUCUCAGUGACUCACAGCUGGGCCCCAUUCGGGCUCUAGGCGGGUGGGCGGAGAAGCCCCUGGCUUGUGCAGGCCAGUGCGCUGAGGACAGGUCCGCCAGCGCUGCUCACAGGUCCGCCAGGGCUGCUCCGGGAGGGGGUGGUUCCCUGGGUCGCUCCUGCUUGGCUCACGACCUGGGGGGAAUCCUCAUCUUGAAGCUCCGGCUCUCCAGGAAAUCCCGGGUUCGAAUUCUGCCACUGCCAGAAUUUGUCAAUUCCGGCUGCCCUGUUUUGGCAAAGUCGCUUUCCACCUCGGAGGGGGCCUCAGUUUUCUCAUUUAUCAAUCAGGCUCUAGAGUUCUCUCCUUACAGAGAGGGGACCAGGCUUGAACACCGACAGUGUGCAGCGAUUCUGGUGCCCUCGGAGAAGCCCGGCAAACAGAAGGGCGCACAGGGGAACACGUGCGUCACGCCCGCCAUUGUGCUCUGCGUCUUAAUCCUCACCAGGACCAAGCAGGUAGGUUCCAUUGUCAUCCCAUUUUACAGACUGGGAAACUGAAGCACAAAGCGAUUCAGUCCCCUGUCCAAGGUCCCACGCCUAGACCGAGCCUGAGUCUGGGUCUGAACUCAGACGGUCUCCACCCCCCGGUCCAUCUUAAAGGACCCGACACCCAGGCGUUACAGACCGAACUUGAGCCUGGGAGCCGCCCCUCGCCCAGUUCCCUGACUCCUGGGGGCCCAGUCCCCACCGUUGUCACGACAACCGGGGACCAAUGGGGAGCAGGCAGGAGGGAGGAGGCCCCGCCCUGGCCCCGCCUCUGGCGGAGGGCUCCGAGCUAUAAGGUCCUGAGGCCGAGCGGCGGGAGUCCAGGCCCGCGGAGCGCCAGGCGCGCACGGAAUUCCGAGUGUCCAGAGCGCGCAGAGUCCCAGAGCCGCGAAGGGCGCAAGCAGCAGCCACGAUGUGCGAAGGGUCGAUUCCAUGUUGCCACCUCUUUGCUGAAAGAGCUCUCAGCGAGGCUUGGGGGGAAAGGCAGCAUGGACCGCCGAGCCUCGAGGCAAAGCUGGGAGAAGGAGUCCGGGACGAGGAGUGGGGCUGGGCUCCGGCGUCCUGAACACCGCGGCGCCUCGGCGCUGUCCCGGGAGACUGCUGGGCCAUGGCGAGGGCUGCUGCGGCCCUGCGCGCACAUCUGCAAUUCCUUACUCUCCUGGCUGGGCCGCCUCCGCUGGCUGGGGAGAGGGCCGGGAACUUGUGCUGGGACAAAAGGUCACUGUGCCUUUUUUAUUUUUUUUCCUUGAGUAGGAUUCAGUUACCCAUUCCAGCCUCCUGUGGCUGGAGGACCUGGUGGAACUUUUGAAGCCAUGAAAGGCCUCUGUCUGACUUCGCCGAGGGCUGUGGGGCGGGAUGUGCCAGCGGUGAGCCCUGGGCCAAGAUCUGUACAGGCCUUGUUUCUGAGGCCAACGGCUCCUGAAAGUGUAAAAGAACCACUGACCAAGGAGCCCACAGCUCGCUUUGGGAUGCAGACUCCCCCAGGCCAAGCGGGCAUCAAUUUAAAUUCCUGAACUUUCAGCAAAAAUCUCUGGGCUACAGGGCAUCGUUAACAAUGUAUAGGGCUGCCUUGGAUGUUUCCCGAGAGAGAGAGAGAGAGAGAAGAAGAAGCAAAGGUGGCAGUUUUGCCAGAAGCCCUUUGGGUUCUAAACCCUUCAGUGUGGCAUUCAAGGCCCCUGGCCAACUGGUGGCCUUAAGUGGGCAUCAAUUUAAAUUCCUGAACUUUCAGCAAAAAUCUCUGGGCUCCAGGGCAUCGUUAACAAUGUAUAGGCCUGCCUGUGGAUGUUUCCCGCAAGAGAGAGAGAGAGAGAGAGAGAGAGAGAAGAAGCAAAGGUGGCAGUUUUGCCAGAAGACCUUUGGGUUCUAAACCCUUCAGUGUGGCAUUCAAGGCCCUUGGCCAACUGGUGGCCUUAGAGCCAGACUAGUGCACUGACCAAGACCCUUGCUCUGCCUCUCCAGCACUGGCAAUUUCCCUCCUUUCUCCUCUCAGGUGCCCUUCUGGGCCUGCCUCUCCCCCAGCCUGCCUUCCUGCUUCCAACUUGCAUCUAGCUUUCUCUGUUGUCUCUCUGAGCCCAUCUCUGCAAAGAGAGAUGGGCUCAGACUCUCCAAAUCUGGGGUCCUGUUCUGCUCUCUUAAAGGGCUGCAUAUGUCUUGUCCCCUAAGGAAAGGAUGAGCUUUGGCCCUGUGACUACCUAUAUCCUUACAUCAAGCCCCCCCACCCCAGCCUAUCCCACCCACCUUGCAGCCCUUGGUUAAGUCAAGGAGUGAUAUCCAACGUGGGAAAGUUAUUUCUUUUCACCUGGGUGCUAAUGUGUCAUUUACAGAGCCCCUCCCCCCCCUGACACUGGCUGAGCACCCCUUGCAUGGAGAAGGCCAUCCCAAGUCAAACCUGACAAUAGCUGCUGUCGAGAAUUAAACAUGUUGUUCUCGUUUUUUGUUUGUUUGUUUGUUUCUGGAUAAUGGCCUGUGUGUGCAUGACAAGUGAUACUG